UACAGAGGGUGCGAGCGUUGUCCGGAAUCACUGGGCGUAAAGGGCGCGUAGGUGGCGACCCAAGUCGAUGGUGAAAGCUCGCCGCUCAACGGCGAGUCGGCCACCGAUACUGGGUUGCUCGAGCACUGUAGAGGCUAAUGGAAUUCCGGGUGUAGCGGUGGAAUGCGUAGAGAUCCGGAAGAACACCGGUGGCGAAGGCGGUUAGCUGGGCAGUUGCUGACGCUGAGGCGCGACAGCGUGGGGAGCAAACAGG
Molecule: ribosomal RNA, 253 nt
Filed under: uncultured bacterium
Lineage: Bacteria
Description: partial 16S ribosomal RNA
Rfam family: Bacterial small subunit ribosomal RNA
Source: RNAcentral